This 482-nucleotide ribosomal RNA is filed under the name uncultured bacterium. RNAcentral describes it as "bacterial SSU rRNA". It matches the Rfam family "Bacterial small subunit ribosomal RNA", at positions 8 to 518 of the family's 1533-position model. The record is from RNAcentral.
AGGGUUCGAUUCUGGCUCAGGAUGAAUGCUGGCGGCAUGCCUAAUACAUGCAAGUCGAGCGGUAACAGGACUAGCUUGCUAGUUGCUGACGAGCGGCGGACGGCUGAGUAACGCAUGGGAACGCACCCCAAACUGAGGGAUAACUAGUCGAAAGAUUAGCUAAUACCGCAUGUGAUCUUCGGAUUAAAGCCUUCGGGCGGUUUGGGAGCGGCCUGUGUACGAUUAGAUAGUUGGUGAGGUAAUGGCUCACCAAGUCGACGAUCGUUAGAUGGUUUGAGAGGAUGAUCAUCCAGACUGGAACUGAGACACGGUCCAGACUCCUACGGGAGGCAGCAGUAGGGAAUCUUUCACAAUGGGCGAAAGCCUGAUGGAGCAAUGCCGCGUGCAGGACGAAGGCCUUCGGGUUGUAAACUGCUUUUAUAAGCGAGGAAUAUGACGGUAACUUAUGAAUAAGGAUCGGCUAACUACGUGCCAGCCGCGGC